This 977-nucleotide ribosomal RNA is filed under the name Pseudozyma sp. P44A002. RNAcentral's name for it is "LSU rRNA". It matches the Rfam family "Eukaryotic large subunit ribosomal RNA", at positions 1 to 958 of the family's 3401-position model. The record is from RNAcentral. Lineage: Eukaryota; Fungi; Basidiomycota; Ustilaginomycetes; Ustilaginales; Ustilaginaceae.
UCGGCCUCAGAUUGGUAGGACUACCCGCUGAACUUAAGCAUAUCAAUAAGCGGAGGAAAAGAAACUAACAAGGAUUCCCCUAGUAACGGCGAGUGAAGAGGGAAGAGCCCAAGAUUGAAAGCUGGCGUCUUUGGCGUCCGCAUUGUAAUCUCAAGAAGUGUUUUCCGCUUCGGACCAUGCCUAAGUCCCUUGGAAAAGGGCAUCAUAGAGGGUGAUAAUCCCGUACAUGGCAUGGAGCGCCCGAAGCUUUGUGAUACACUUUCUAAGAGUCGAGUUGUUUGGGAAUGCAGCUCAAAAUGGGUGGUAAAUGCCAUCUAAGGCUAAAUAUUGGGGAGAGACCGAUAGCGAACAAGUACAGUGAUGGAAAGAUGAAAAGAACUUUGAAAAGAGAGUUAAACAGUACGUGAAAUUGCCAAAAGGGAAGGGUAGGAGGUCAGAGAUGCGGUCUGGGAUUCAGCCUUGCUUUUGCUGGGUGUUUUUCUCAGAUUGCAGGCCAACGUCGGUUUUGGGCGCUGGAGAAGGGUGGAAGGAAUGUGGCACCUCUCGGGGUGUGUUAUAGCCUUCUACUGGAUACAGUGACCGAGACCGAGGACAGCAGCGUACUCGCAAGAGCGGGCCUUCGGGCACCUUUACGCUUAGGGCGUUGGCAUAAUGGCCCUCUACCACCCGUCUUGAAACACGGACCAAGGAGUCUAACAUGUAUGCGAGUCUUUGGGUGGCAAACCCAUAGGCGCAAUGAAAGUGAAUUCAGGUGGGAUCCGCAAGGUGCACCAUCGACCGAUCCUCACGUCUUUUUUAAGUCGUGGAUUUGAGUAAGAGCAUACCUGUUGGGACCCGAAAGAUGGUGAACUAUGCCUGAAUAGGGUGAAGCCAGAGGAAACUCUGGUGGAGGCUCGUAGCGGUUCUGACGUGCAAAUCGAUCGUCAAAUUUGGGUAUAGGGGCGAAAGACUAAUCGAACCAUCUAGUAGCUGGUUCC